RNAcentral lists this ribosomal RNA (602 nucleotides) under uncultured Spiroplasma sp. RNAcentral's name for it is "bacterial SSU rRNA". It matches the Rfam family "Bacterial small subunit ribosomal RNA", at positions 128 to 718 of the family's 1533-position model. The record is from RNAcentral. Lineage: Bacteria; Bacillati; Mycoplasmatota; Mollicutes; Entomoplasmatales; Spiroplasmataceae.
ACCAUUUAGUGGGGAAUAACUGUUGGAAACGACAGCUAAUACCGCAUAAUAUUGCUGGAUAAUUUCCAGUAAUGAAAGGAGCUUUCAAGCUCCGCUGAUUGAUGAGGAUGCGGCGCAUUAGCUAGUUGGUAGGGUAAUGGCCUACCAAGGCAAUGAUGCGUAGCCGAUCUGAGAGGAUGAACGGCCACAUUGGGGCUGAGACACGGCCCAAACUUCUACGGAAGGCAGCAGUAGGGAAUUUUUCACAAUGGGCGAAAGCCUGAUGGAGCAAUGCCGCGUGACUGAUGAAGGUCUUCGGAUUGUAAAGGUCUGUUGUGAGGGAAGAAAUGGUAAAACAGGAAAUGGUUUUAUCUAUGACGGUACCUUACCAGAAAGCCACGGCUAACUAUGUGCCAGCAGCCGCGGUAAUACAUAGGUGGCAAGCGUUAUCCGGAUUUAUUGGGCGUAAAGGGUGCGUAGACGGUUUUGCAAGUCUGAGGUUAAAUUUAGGAGCUCAACUCCUAAUCGCCUUGGAAACUACAAGACUAGAGUAUAGGAGAGGUUAGUGGAAUUCCNUGUGUAGCGGUGGAAUGNGUAGAUAUAUGGAGGAACACCAGUGGCGA